RNAcentral lists this ribosomal RNA (253 nucleotides) under uncultured bacterium. Its description in RNAcentral is "partial 16S ribosomal RNA". It matches the Rfam family "Bacterial small subunit ribosomal RNA", at positions 524 to 776 of the family's 1533-position model. The record is from RNAcentral.
GACGUAGGGAGCGAGCGUUGUCCGGAUUCAUUGGGCGUAAAGCGCGCGUAGGCGGUUUGGUAAGUCGGAUGUGAAAACCCGGAGCUCAACUCCGGGCCUGCAGUCGAUACGGGCGGACUUGAGUGUUGCAGGGGAGACUGGAAUUCCUGGUGUAGCGGUGAAAUGCGCAGAUAUCAGGAGGAACACCGGUGGCGAAGGCGGGUCUCUGGGCAACUACUGACGCUGAGGAGCGAAAGCGUGGGGAGCGAACAGG